UGAGGAAUAUUGGUCAAUGGGCGGGAGCCUGAAACAGCCAAGCCGCGUGAAGGAAGAAGGCGCCAGGCGUCGUAAACUUCUUUUGUCGGGGAACAAAGGGCGCCACGCGUGGCGUUGUGAGUGUACCCGAAAGAAAAAGCAUCGGCUAACUCCGUGCC
RNAcentral lists this ribosomal RNA (158 nucleotides) under uncultured bacterium. RNAcentral's name for it is "partial 16S ribosomal RNA". It matches the Rfam family "Bacterial small subunit ribosomal RNA", at positions 355 to 509 of the family's 1533-position model. The record is from RNAcentral.